Molecule: long non-coding RNA, 546 nt
Organism: Oncorhynchus tshawytscha (Chinook salmon)
Lineage: Eukaryota; Metazoa; Chordata; Actinopteri; Salmoniformes; Salmonidae
Source: Ensembl
AAAGGAUCAAGAUAUAUACAGUAUGGGGAUGAGGUAGAUAGAUAGAUGGGCUAUUUAUAGAUGGGCUAUGAACAGGUGCAGUGAUCUGUGAGCUGCUCUGACAGCUGGUGCAGCUACGUGAGGGAGAUGUGAGUCUCCAACUUCAGUGAUUUUUGCCUGUUUGUUCCAGUCAGCGGCAGCAGAGAACUGGAAGGAAAGGCGAACAAAGGAGGAAUUGGCUUUGAGAUAAAACCUGUUUGAGCGCGUGCUACGGGUGUGUGUUGCUAUGGUGACCAGCGAGCUGAGAUAGGGGCGGGGCUUUACCUAGCAGAGACUUGAUGAGUGACUUGUUUUGUUUUGAUUACAAUCACGCCUUACCUGUUAACACGUGAUAGCACUGUGUUGUCUGGGAAAAGACUGGGCGAGUUUGCUUUGCAUGCUAUGCUAGCAUAGUUUAACGCAAGGUCAGGGACAAGCUAUGCUAGCUAGCUGCUGUCAGCUUGGCUAAACACAAGGUCAGGGACAAGCUAUGCUAGGUAGCUGCUGUCAGCUUGGCUAAACGCAAGG